This is a small nuclear RNA of Carcharodon carcharias (great white shark), 106 nucleotides long. The record is from RefSeq and is a predicted model, not a curated record. Lineage: Eukaryota; Metazoa; Chordata; Chondrichthyes; Lamniformes; Lamnidae.
GUCACUCUCACCUGCUCACAAUUAGUACAUUGGAACGAUACAGAGAAGAUUAGCAUGGCCCCUGAGCAAGGAUGACAUGCAAAUUCUUGAAGCAAGAAAAAAAAAU